UACAGAGACUGCGAGCGUUAUUCGGAUUCACUGGGCGUAAAGGGUGCGCAGGCGGCCAGGUGUGUGGGGCGUGAAAGCCCGGGGCUCAACCCCGGAAUUGCACCUCAAACUACAUGGCUAGAGUACUGGAGAGGGAGACGGAAUUCACGGUGUAGCAGUGAAAUGCGUAGAGAUGCGGAGGAACACCGAUGGCGAAGGCAGCCCCCCUGGGCUAACACUGACGCUCAGGCACGAAAGCGUGGGGAGCAAACAGG
Molecule: ribosomal RNA, 254 nt
Filed under: uncultured bacterium
Lineage: Bacteria
Description: partial 16S ribosomal RNA
Rfam family: Bacterial small subunit ribosomal RNA
Source: RNAcentral